Molecule: unclassified non-coding RNA, 433 nt
Filed under: Bombus terrestris (buff-tailed bumblebee)
Lineage: Eukaryota; Metazoa; Arthropoda; Insecta; Hymenoptera; Apidae
Description: misc RNA ENSBTSG00005027769.1
Source: RNAcentral
AGCAACUGUAAAGUGAAAUAAUGAAAAUCAUAUUGUUUGUUUUAGAUUGCAGUGUCAACGUGAAGAAUUCUGGAAUGCUAUGAAAAUGCCUUCCCUACUAAUUCUCGAGAAUAAUUAAUGCUAGUAAGUAUAGGGGAAGAAUGAAAUAAGUAAGCGCUCUUGAUUUUAUUCCUUAAAAAUGGCAUUUAAAGCAGAAGUGGUGCUCGACGGCAGUUUAAUCGGUUUACAAUCAGCCAGCAAUUGAAAGAAUGGGCAAAAAGAAGGAAAGAAGGGUGACCACGUACAACAAUGCAAAAGUAUAAAAAACUAUGGCCAUUUGUUGACGAAAACGACGAGAACAUUUCCAAGCUAUGUAGCGUCUAGUAGAACGUCCGUAAAAUUUCGGACGAAAUUUAAAACGAUCGUAUUUCUUAAUUAACGAUCGUACUACGGG